CUUGACCGACCCGAGCCACAACGGUUGCUCCUCGGCCCGGUCCUGCCCGUACGCGGCCAGCAGUGCCGUCGCCUC
This 75-nucleotide antisense RNA is filed under the name Actinoplanes sp. N902-109. Its description in RNAcentral is "ASpks TB sRNA". It matches the Rfam family "ASpks TB sRNA". Lineage: Bacteria; Bacillati; Actinomycetota; Actinomycetes; Micromonosporales; Micromonosporaceae. The record is from Rfam by way of RNAcentral.